AGAAAGAGCAACUCGAAUUCGGAGAGUUUCAGUGGUUAGCUGAUAUGGGAAUAUUUGGUGAGCAACUUCCUCAAGAAGCAUUAGCAGCGGCUGAAGUUCCUCAAUUAGCAGUUCCACCAUCAGUCAGUGUUAGCUCCUACAGACCUACGGAGUCCAAUAUGCCUACUAAGAAGCCUAGGAUUGAGAUUUCUGAUGAAGAUGAAGAUGAUGAGUACUUCACUGUACCUGAUCUUGGCUGAGAUGGGCCAUAGACUCUAUGGUUUGCAAACUGUACAUAGUUUCCUAAGUGCAUGCAAUGUAUGUAUGUUUAUUACAAGAUAUGUUGUGAGAAACAUAAAGGUUAGUUUAGGAAAUUUACAUUUUCUAUAUUAUCCGGUAUUACUAUUUUCAUUCAAAACACUGAUAUACUACCAUGAG
Molecule: unclassified non-coding RNA, 417 nt
Filed under: Hevea brasiliensis (rubber tree)
Lineage: Eukaryota; Viridiplantae; Streptophyta; Magnoliopsida; Malpighiales; Euphorbiaceae
Source: RNAcentral